CACGUAGUUAGCCGGGGCUUCUUAGUCAGGUACCGUCAUUUUCUUCCCUGCUGAUAGAGCUUUACAUACCGAGAUACUUCUUCACUCACGCGGCGUCGCUGCAUCAGGGUUUCCCCCAUUGUGCAAUAUUCCCCACUGCUGCCUCCCGUAGGAGUUUGGGCCGUGUCUCAGUCCCAAUGUGGCCGUCCGCCUCUCAGGCCGGCUACCGAUCGUCGCUUUGGUGGGCCGUUACCCCGCCAACUGGCUAAUCGGACGCGGAUCCAUCGUAUGCCGAUAAAUCUUUUCACACAGUACCAUGCGGUAUUGUGCGCUUAUGCGGUAUUAGCAGCUGUUCCAACUGUUAUCCCCCUGCAUACGGCAGGUUAUCCACGCGUUACUCCGACCCGUCCGCCACUAACUCGGAAAUCACUAGUUUCAAUCCGAGUCCGUUCGACUUGCAUGUGUUACGGCUACGCCG
Molecule: ribosomal RNA, 457 nt
Filed under: uncultured Lachnospiraceae bacterium
Lineage: Bacteria; Bacillati; Bacillota; Clostridia; Lachnospirales; Lachnospiraceae
Description: partial 16S ribosomal RNA
Source: RNAcentral